UGGUUACAAAAAACAAAAAAUAGAAAUUUCUGUAAAAUACUUUCAAAAUGCUACUUCUCCUACAGUAUUGGUUUAAAUACAGUAUAACUUGGCACACAAGUAGACAACACUAUGAUACUUAAUUCUAUUUAUUGCUGUUACAAAGUUUCAAUCCAAGUAUUACUUUUCUCUUCCUUUGUUAUAAGUACAACCCAGUAGAGCGACUGUGAGUCUCAUCAGAGACUUCUGGUUUUUGAGCAUCUUUUUUCUAGGAAGACUAAGUUUCUAGGAAGAUAUUGACCUUAAGUUGAGUUGACGCUUUUUCUCUUUGAAGAUUAAAGAUUUGGGGACAAUCAAGAAUUAAAGUGGCUGAAGUCAUGGAGACCCAAUCUCAGUUCACAGGGAAUACCACGGACUGCAAGGAAGGACAUUGGAACUGGCUUAUGUAUUCCAAUUUUGAUUGCAGUUGAUGAAAGAUGUCGUACUUAGGGAAACAUUAGAUGAAAUUACUUUGAAAUACCCCUAGUUUGUCAACUUCUAGCCAAGAUCCUACAGGUUAGUUGAAUUGGAGAACAGAUGUACACACAGUAGAAAGGAUAUUACCUGAAAACAUCAAAUGACGGGGAAAAAAGAAGACUAGCUGCCUAUUUCAGAGAUAUAUAUUUUCACAGUAUCAUCACCCAUAGCACUACGAUCAAAAAUUAAAAAUGACAUUAAGGAAGAAAAAAAAUGAAGACACUGAUCAAAAAGAAAAGAAGUUGGAAGAGUUUCGAAUAUUAUGUCUGAAUAUUCUGUCAACAACACCAUAGAUCUGGAGAGGGAUUUUUUUGCCUAAUAAUUUAUAUUAAUGCAUGUACAUUUAUUUUUUAAUUCUUUUUUAUAUAUAGUGUUGCCUUUUUUUCA
Saccostrea echinata is the source of this 882-nucleotide long non-coding RNA. RefSeq lists it as uncharacterized. The transcript has 3 exons. Lineage: Eukaryota; Metazoa; Mollusca; Bivalvia; Ostreida; Ostreidae. The record is from RefSeq and is a predicted model, not a curated record.